UUCCUGUUGCCUAGAGAAGGGAGGGAUUAAGUGACUUGGCCAAGGUUACAUGUAGCCAUUAUUGCAUCAAACACAGAGCUUGAACCCAGGUCCUUUUGCCUCUAAGGCCAGCUCUCUAGUCACUCUGCCCCUCACUGCCUCUAUACAUCCAGAAGAAUCCUCUCAGUGGCAGUUCUUGUCCUUGUUUGAGGAAAGCUACCAGGGAGCUGGUUUAGUCAGACCAUGACAAAGCAUGUCCUGAAGUGACAGCUGAAUGUCUGAGGGCACACCAGAGUGUCUGAAGGCACCAUGGCUGCCACGGGCCCAGUUUUAUCCUUUGUGGAAACACGUCUCCAGAAAAGCAUCGUCCAGAGCCUCAGAGUUCCAGGGCUGGUGUUGGGUGUUUCGUGGGACAGAGAGCUUAGACAUGAAUGCCAGGAUGGGACAGAGAUGAGCAGAAGUCAAAGACAUGGCCUGAGGACACCCACAGAGCAGCUCAGCUUGGAUGGUAUUUCCCUAGUGCAGAAAUCCCAUAUCCCUUCUUCCACUUGAGCAUUCAAUUUACAGUAAUGAGUUUCAGUGUGGGAAUUGAAGUGCUUUUGUGAAAUUCUGCCUAUAUUGUCAAAAACUCAGCUGAUGAUGAUGUUUUUGUGCAGUUUUUAUGGUUAUGAGCAUCUUGCAGCAUGCUUGGCUGAUUCAAUCCAAAUGUAGACUUUGGUGCAUACAUGGAGUGAAUUACCUGCCACAAACCCACA
RNAcentral lists this long non-coding RNA (734 nucleotides) under Monodelphis domestica (gray short-tailed opossum). RNAcentral describes it as "lncRNA (ENSMODG00000030199.2)". Lineage: Eukaryota; Metazoa; Chordata; Mammalia; Didelphimorphia; Didelphidae. The record is from RNAcentral.